UACGAAAGGUGCAAGCGUUGUUCGGAAUUAUUGGGCGUAAAGCGCACGUAGGCGGGCUCGUAUGUCGAUUGUGAAAGCCCCAGGCUUAACCUGGGAAUUGCAGUCGAAACUGCGAGUCUUGAAUACCUAAGAGGAUGGGGGAAUUGCUGGUGGAGUAGUGAAAUACGUAGAGAUCAGCAGGAACACCUGAGGUGAAGACGCCUAUCUGGUGGUGUAUUGACGCUGAGGUGCGAAAGCGUGGGGAGCAAACAGG
This 253-nucleotide ribosomal RNA is filed under the name uncultured bacterium. RNAcentral describes it as "partial 16S ribosomal RNA". It matches the Rfam family "Bacterial small subunit ribosomal RNA", at positions 524 to 776 of the family's 1533-position model. The record is from RNAcentral.